AAAUUGGGCAAGUCGAACUUUAUUCCAUCUAAACUUAUGUUAUUUUUAAAGAGAAAUAUACAAAAAGUUUCAUCCAAAAGCGUCUAGAAAAACCUAUUCGUUAGUUAUAAAUAAUGAGAACGUAAUAAUGUAGAUAAAAAGUUGCUAAUAUAAUCAAAUAAACUUUAUUUGGUGCCAGUUUUGAAUUCAAAAUUAGGGAAGUCGAAUUUAUAGCCUCUAAACUUAUGUUAUCGAAAUGUAUAAUGAAUUUCGUCCAAAAGCGUCUAUAAAAACCUUUUAUUUGGCUAUAUAGAGUGAGAACAUAAUAAUGUUGAUAUAAAGUUGCUAAUUUAAUCAAAUGAAUUAUUUCUGGAGACACUUCUCAAUUCAAAUUGGGCAAGUCGAACUUUAUUGCAUCUAAACUUAUGUGAUUUUUAAAGAGUAGUAUACAAAUAAUUUCAUCGAAAACCAUCUAGAAAAACCUGUUAGUUGGUUAUAAAUAAUGAAAACGAAAUAAGGUUGAUAAAAAGUUGCUAAUAUAACCAAAUAAAUUAUAUUUGGUGCCAGUUUUGAAUUCAAAAUUGGGGAAAUCUAAUUUAUAGCCUCCAAACUUAUGUUAUCGAAAUGUAUAAUGAAUUUCGUCCUAAAGCGUCUAUAAUAACCUUUUAUUUGGCUAUAUAGAAUGAGAACAUAAUAAUGUUAAUAUAAAGUUGCUAAUUUAAUCAAAUGAAUUAUUUUCGUUGACACUUCUCAAUUCAAAUUGGGCAAGUCGAACUUUAUUGCAUCUAAACUUAUGUUAUUUUUAAAGAGUAGUAUGCAAAUAAUUUCAUCGAAAACCAUCUAGAAAAACCUGUUAGUUAGUUAUAAAUAAUGAAAACGAAAUAAGGUUGAUAAAAAGUUGCUAAUAUAACCAAAUAAAUUAUAUUUGGUGCCAGUUUUGAAUUCAAAAUUGGGGAAAUCUAAUUUAUAGCCUCCAAACUUAUGUUAUCGAAAUGUAUAAUGAAUUUCGUCCUAAAGCGUCUAUAAUAACCUUUUAUUUGGCUAUAUAGAAUGAGAACAUAAUAAUGUUAAUAUAAAGUUGCUAAUUUAAUCAAAUGAAUUAUUUUCGUUGACACUUCUCAAUUCAAAUUGGGCAAGUCGAACUUUAUUGCAUCUAAACUUAUGUUAUUUUUAAAGAGAAAUAUACAAAUAAUUUCAUCCAUAAGCGUCUAGAAAAACCUGUUAGUUAGUUAUAAAUAAUGUAAACGUAAUAAAGUUGAUAAAAAGUUGCUAUUAUAAUCAAAUAAAUUAUAUUUGUUGCCAGUUUUGAAUUCAAAAUUGGGGAAGUUUAAUUUAUAGCCUAUAAACUUACGUUAUCGAAAUGUAUAAUGAAUUUCGUCCGAAAGCGUCUACAAAAACCUUCUAAUUGGCUAUAUAGAAUGAGAACGUAAUAAUGUUGAUAUAAAGUUGCUAAUUUAAUCAAAUGAUUUAUUUCUGGUGACACUUCUCAAUUCAAAUAGGGCAAGUCGAACUUUAUUGCAUCUAAACUGAUGUUAUUUUUAAAGAAAAAUAUACAAAUAAUUUCAUCCAAAAGCGCCUAGAAAAACCUGUUAGUUAGUUAUAAAUAUUGAAAAUGUAACAAAGUUGAUAAAAAGUUGCUAAUAUAAUCAAAUAAAUUAUAUUUGGUGCCAGUUUUGAAUUCAAAAUUGG
This 1668-nucleotide long non-coding RNA is filed under the name Lactuca sativa (garden lettuce). RNAcentral's name for it is "long non-coding RNA (LSAT_LNC010043)". The record is from RNAcentral. Lineage: Eukaryota; Viridiplantae; Streptophyta; Magnoliopsida; Asterales; Asteraceae.